AGAUGGAGGUCAAGCAGAAGGGGCAGAGGAUGAACUGGAAAUCCGGUUUCAGAGUAGAAGAUUUUGGAGACCAAGUCCCACUCCCAUUGAACAGAUGGGUCACUGAGGCCAGGAGGGAAGCUGCCCCCCACCAGCCAGCACUGUGUCACCACUCACUUGCCUGCACCACAGCGCCAGGUGUUAGGCCAGGCCAGCAGUUUCCCAGACCGGUGCUCCUGUUUCCUAAGAUGUCUGCCAGGCAUCAAAGAAAGGUCUAUGCAUAUGAGAGAAAAAAUACCUAGGGAAGGAGAAAAAGGAGAAGAAACAGACAAGAGAGAAAGGAGAAAGAGCUGGGAGCAGGGAAGGAAUAGAAGGCCAGCAGGCCAGUGCUGAGAAUGCUGGGCAGACCCCCUGCCAGGGCCUGAAAUGCUGCCACUGGUGACUCAACCUUUUGUCUUCAAAACUGCAAGGGAGAAAAAAAAUCUCAUACUAGGGGGCACCACAGCUUUUAUCAGCAAUCCCAUUAGAGGCUAAGACUGAGAGGCAUGAGACUGCAAGUUCAACGCCCCCUUUGAUGUUGGAAUCAAGCUGUCAGGGGUUCAGUACCAGCAGCACAGCCAGGCCCUGGGGAAGUUUCUUCAGGACAUCCUCUGGGAAGAGGCCAAAGAGGCCCCAGCUGACAAGUGAUCGCCCACAAGCCUUACUCACCUCUCUCUAAGUUUAGAAGCGCUCAUCUGGCUUUUCGCUUG
This 728-nucleotide small RNA is filed under the name Pan troglodytes (chimpanzee). Its description in RNAcentral is "processed transcript". Lineage: Eukaryota; Metazoa; Chordata; Mammalia; Primates; Hominidae. The record is from RNAcentral.